CCUACGGGUGGCUGCAGUGAGGAAUAUUGGUCAAUGGACGCAAGUCUGAACCAGCCAUGCCGCGUGCAGGAAGACGGCUCUAUGAGUUGUAAACUGCUUUUGUACGAGGGUAAACGCAGAUACUCGUAUCCUUCUGAAAGUAUCUUACGAAUAAGGAUCGGCUAACUCCGUUCCAGCAGCCGCGGUAAUACGGAGGAUUCAAGCGUUAUCCGGAUUUAUUGGGUUUAAAGGGUGCGUAGGCGGGCGGAUAAGUUAGCGGUGAAAUCCCGGGGCUCAACUUCGGAAUUGCCGCUGAUACUGUUGGGCUGGAGAGUAGUAGAGGUAGGCGGAAUGUAUGGUGUAGCGGUGAAAUGCUUAGAGAUCAUACAGAACACCGAUUGCGAAGGCAGCUUACCAAGCUACUUCUGACGUUGAGGCACGAAAGCGUGGGGAGCAAACAGGAUUAGAUACCCGAGUAGUC
Molecule: ribosomal RNA, 460 nt
Filed under: uncultured bacterium
Lineage: Bacteria
Description: partial 16S ribosomal RNA
Rfam family: Bacterial small subunit ribosomal RNA
Source: RNAcentral